GCCGGCAGCUAGCUCUCUGUAACUCUUACAUGGUUGCCCACUGAAGCUAAGCAGGGCUGUGCCCGGUCAGUAUCUGGAUGGGAGACCUCUUGGGAAAGCUUGGUUGCUGCUGGAA
This 115-nucleotide ribosomal RNA is filed under the name Danio rerio (zebrafish). The record is from RNAcentral. Lineage: Eukaryota; Metazoa; Chordata; Actinopteri; Cypriniformes; Danionidae.